RNAcentral lists this ribosomal RNA (402 nucleotides) under bacterium. RNAcentral's name for it is "partial 16S ribosomal RNA". It matches the Rfam family "Bacterial small subunit ribosomal RNA", at positions 355 to 776 of the family's 1533-position model. The record is from RNAcentral.
UGGGGAAUUUUGCACAAUGGGGGAAACCCUGAUGCAGCGACGCCGCGUGAUUUAGAAGGCCUUCGGGUUGUAAAAAUCUUUUUUACGGGAUGAAAAUGACAGUACCGUAAGAAUAAGGUCCGGCUAAAUACGUGCCAGCAGCCGCGGUAAUACGUAUGGACCGAGCGUUGCUCGGAAUCAUUGGGCGUAAAGGGUACGUAGGCGGCCUAGUAAGUUAGAAGUGAAAUAAUAUAGCUCAACUAUAUAAAGCUUUUAAAACUGCUAGGCUUGAGAGAUGGAAGGGAAAGUGGAAUUCCUAGUGUAGCGGUGAAAUGCGCAGAUAUUAGGAAGAAUACCGGUGGCGAAGGCGACUUUCUGGUCAUCAUCUGACGCUGAGGUACGAAAGCGUGGGUAGCAAACAGG